Molecule: ribosomal RNA, 253 nt
Filed under: uncultured bacterium
Lineage: Bacteria
Description: partial 16S ribosomal RNA
Rfam family: Bacterial small subunit ribosomal RNA
Source: RNAcentral
UACGUAGGAGGCAAGCGUUGUCCGGAAUUACUGGGUGUAGAGCGCGUGUAGGCGGCAGGCCAAGUCUGUGGUGAAAUCGCUCGGCUCAACUGGGCGGGGUCCAUGGAAACUGGUCAGCUGGAGGACGGUAGAGGUGAGUGGAAUUCCCGGUGUAGUGGUGAAAUGCGUAGAGAUCGGGAGGAACACCCGUGGCGAAGGCGGCUCACUGGGCCGGUCCUGACGCUGAGACGCGAAGGCGUGGGGAGCGAACGGG